GUUAAGGUGGCUUAAUGGAUAGAGCUCAGGGCUAGGAGUUCGGAGGACCUGGGUUCUAAUCCUGGCUCUAUCA
Molecule: transfer RNA, 73 nt
Filed under: Ornithorhynchus anatinus (platypus)
Lineage: Eukaryota; Metazoa; Chordata; Mammalia; Monotremata; Ornithorhynchidae
Rfam family: tRNA
About the family: Transfer RNA (tRNA) molecules are approximately 80 nucleotides in length. Their secondary structure includes four short double-helical elements and three loops (D, anti-codon, and T loops).
Source: Rfam by way of RNAcentral